Molecule: ribosomal RNA, 883 nt
Filed under: uncultured bacterium
Lineage: Bacteria
Description: bacterial SSU rRNA
Rfam family: Bacterial small subunit ribosomal RNA
Source: RNAcentral
GAGUUUGAUCCUGGCUCAGAUGACGCUGACAGAAUGCUUACACAUGCAAGUCUACUUGAAUUCACUUCGGUGAUAGUAAGGUGGCGGACGGGUGAGUAACACGUAAAGAGCUUGCCUUACAGUCUGGGACAACUAUUGGAAACGAUAGCUAAUACCGGAUAUUAUGAAUUUUCCACAUGGAAGAUUUAUGAAAGCUAUAUGCGCUGUAAGAGAGCUUUGCGUCCCAUUAGCUAGUUGGUGAGGUAACGGCUCACAAAGGCGACGAUGGGUAGCCGGCCUGAGAGGGUGAACGGCCACAAGGGGACUGAGACACGGCCCUUACUCCUACGGGAGGCAGCAGUGGGGAAUAUUGGACAAUGGACCAAAAGUCUGAUCCAGCAAUUCUGUGUGCACGAUGACGGUCUUCGGAUUGUAAAGUGCUUUCAGUUGGGAAGAAAGAAAUGACGGUACCAACAGAAGAAGCGACGGCUAAAUACGUGCCAGCAGCCGCGGUAAUACGUAUGUCGCAAGCGUUAUCCGGAUUUAUUGGGCGUAAAGCGCGUCUAGGUGGUUUGAUAAGUCUGAUGUGAAAAUGCGGGGCUCAACUCCGUAUUGCGUUGGAAACUGUCAAACUAGAGUAUCGGAGAGGUGGGCGGAACUACAAGUGUAGAUGUGAAAUUCGUAGAUAUUUGUAGGAAUGCCGAUAGAGAAGUCAGCUCACUGGACGAAUACUGACACUGAAGCGCGAAAGCAUGGGGAGCAAACAGGAUUAGAUACCCUGGUAGUCCAUGCCGUAAACGAUGAUUACUAAGCGUCGGGGGUCGAACCUCGGCACUCAAGCUAACGCGAUAAGUAAUCCGCCUGGGGAGUACGUACGCAAGUAUGAAACUCAAAGGAAUGACGG